CAUCCUUUCGCUUAACCGGAAAAGCACGCCUUUGUAUUAAAAGGCGGAUGCGGGUUCGAAUCCCGCAAGGAUGAUCA
This 77-nucleotide transfer RNA is filed under the name Caldibacillus debilis GB1. RNAcentral describes it as "tRNA-OTHER". It matches the Rfam family "tRNA". From Rfam's summary of the family: Transfer RNA (tRNA) molecules are approximately 80 nucleotides in length. Their secondary structure includes four short double-helical elements and three loops (D, anti-codon, and T loops). The record is from RNAcentral. Lineage: Bacteria; Bacillati; Bacillota; Bacilli; Caryophanales; Bacillaceae.